This 74-nucleotide transfer RNA is filed under the name Minisyncoccota bacterium. RNAcentral's name for it is "tRNA-Ile". It matches the Rfam family "tRNA". Rfam says of the family: Transfer RNA (tRNA) molecules are approximately 80 nucleotides in length. Lineage: Bacteria; Bacillati; Minisyncoccota. The record is from RNAcentral.
CCGCCCGUAGCUCAGCUGGUUAGAGCGCUAAGCUUAUACCUUAGUGGUCCUUGGUUCGAAUCCAAGCGGGCGGA